UACGGAGGGGGGCUAGCGUUGUUCGGAAUUACUGGGCGUAAAGCGCACGUAGGCGGCUUUGUAAGUUAGAGGUGAAAGCCCAGGGCUUAACCCUGGAAUUGCCUUUAAGACUGCAUCGCUAGAAUCGUGGAGAGGUGAGUGGAAUUCCGAGUGUAGAGGUGAAAUUCGUAGAUAUUCGGAAGAACACCAGUGGCGAAGGCGACUCACUGGACACGUAUUGACGCUGAGGUGCGAAAAGCGUGGGGGAGCAAACAGG
This 256-nucleotide ribosomal RNA is filed under the name uncultured bacterium. RNAcentral's name for it is "partial 16S ribosomal RNA". It matches the Rfam family "Bacterial small subunit ribosomal RNA", at positions 524 to 776 of the family's 1533-position model. The record is from RNAcentral.